AUUGAACGCUGGCGGCAUGCCUUACACAUGCAAGUCGAACGGCAGCACGGGUGCUUGCACCUGGUGGCGAGUGGCGAACGGGUGAGUAAUAUAUCGGAACGUACCUUAUCGUGGGGGAUAACGCAGCGAAAGCUGUGCUAAUACCGCAUAAGCCCUAAGGGGGAAAGCAGGGGACCGUAAGGCCUUGCGCGAUUAGAGCGGCCGAUACCUGAUUAGCUAGUUGGUGAGGUAAAGGCUCACCAAGGCAACGAUCAGUAGCUGGUCUGAGAGGACGAUCAGCCGCGCUGGGACUGAGACACGGCCCAGACUCCUACGGGAGGCAGCAGUGGGGAAUUUUGGACAAUGGGGGCAACCCUGAUCCAGCAAUGCCGCGUGAGUGAAGAAGGCCUUCGGGUUGUAAAGCUCUUUUGUCAGGGAAGAAACAGCAGCUCUAAUACAGUAUGCGAAUGACGGUACCUGAAGAAUAAGCACCGGCUAACUACGUGCCAGCCGCCGCGGUAA
RNAcentral lists this ribosomal RNA (501 nucleotides) under uncultured bacterium. RNAcentral describes it as "partial 16S ribosomal RNA". It matches the Rfam family "Bacterial small subunit ribosomal RNA", at positions 30 to 523 of the family's 1533-position model. The record is from RNAcentral.